AGUGAACGCUGGCGGUAGGCCUAACACAUGCAAGUCGAACGGCAGCACAGAGGAGCUUGCUCCUUGGGUGGCGAGUGGCGGACGGGUGAGGAAUACAUCGGAAUUUACUCUGUCGUGGGGGAUAACGUAGGGAAACUUACGCUAAUACCGCAUACGACCUACGGGUGAAAGCAGGGGAUCUUCGGACCUUGCGCGAUUGAAUGAGCCGAUGUCGGAUUAGCUAGUUGGCGGGGUAAAGGCCCACCAAGGCGACGAUCCGUAGCUGGUCGGGGAGGAUGAUCAGCCACACUGGAACUGAGACACGGUCCAGACUCCUACGGGAGGCAGCAGUGGGGAAUAUUGGACAAUGGGCGCAAGCCUGAUCCAGCCAUACCGCGUGGGUGAAGAAGGCCUUCGGGUUGUAAAGCCCUUUUGUUGGGAAAGAAAUCCAUCUGGUUAAUACCCGGGUGGGAUGACGGUACCCAAAGAAUAAGCACCGGCUAACUUCGUGCCAGCCGCCGCAGUAA
Molecule: ribosomal RNA, 506 nt
Filed under: uncultured bacterium
Lineage: Bacteria
Description: partial 16S ribosomal RNA
Rfam family: Bacterial small subunit ribosomal RNA
Source: RNAcentral